CAUCUGCUGGAGCUCGACGCGCUGUCCAUGUGCCAACCCCAGUGGCUGCAAGAGGUGGCGAACUCCUACGAGACUGACCCGGAGUCACAAGAGCUGCUCGCCAAGCUGGCAGUUGUGGGCGAGGACGAUCAAGGCCGGGCACUGCAGAAUGGAGUAAUACGUCAGCGCGGCCGCCUGUGGAUCGGCGCCAACUCCGCACUCCAGACCAAGCUCAUCGCCGCGCUUCAUCACAGCGCGGCCGGGGGCCACUCGGGAGCCACAGCCACUUACCACAGAGUACGCAAGCUCUUUGCCUGGCCCGGCCUCAAGCGCACCGUGGAAGACUUCGUUCGUCAGUGCGACAUCUGCCAACACGCCAAGCAUGAGAACUUGCACCCGGCCGGCAAGCUUCAACCCCUGCCGAUUCCGGACGCGCCAUGGCAAGAUGUGACCAUGGACUUCGUCGAGGGUCUACCCAAGUCUGAAGACUGCGACUCCAUCUUGGUCGUCGUCGACCGACUCACCAAGUUCGCGCACUUCGUGCCACUCCAUCACCCCUUCACGGCGGCGCAGGUGGCCCGCGCGUUCUGGGAGCACGUCAUAAAGCUGCACGGCGUCCCUCGCUCCAUCGUUUCCGAUCGCGACAAGAUCUUCACCAGUGCAAUGUGGCGAGAACUGCUCACUGCGGCCGGCACCAAGCUCCUCUACUCCACCGCCUACCACCCCCAGACGGACGGCCAGACGGAGCGGGUCAACCAGUGUCUGGAGAUGUACCUGCGAUGCGCCGUCCACGACAACCCGAGGCGAUGGCGCAAGUGGCUUCCGGCAGCAGAGUUCUGGUAUAACUCCACACACCACGCGUCUCUCAAGUGCUCGCCGUUCAGAGCGCUCUACGGCGUUGACCCCAACCUGGGUGGUUUACCUCACUUCAGCGCCGACUCAACCCCGGGCGCACCUGCGGAGGAGGUGGACUGGGCAGCACACACUGAACGCCUCCGUGCUCAGCUUGCUCACGCUCAGUCGCGUUUCAAGAAGCAGGCUGAUCGCCACCGUGCCGAGCGCGCGUUCGACAUCGGCGAGCAAGUGCUGCUAAAGCUGCAACCGUAUGCCCAGUCGUCGGUUGUGAAUCGCCCUUGCCGGAAGCUCUCCUACAAGUUCUACGGGCCGUUCAUGGUGACCGAACGGAUCGGCAACCUAGCAUAUCGUCUUCAUCUUCCAGCCGACAGCCGAAUCCAUCCGGUAUUUCAUGUUUCUCAGCUGAAGCCGUACACCCCUGAUUACACCCCCGUCUUCUCCGAGCUGCCGCAGGUGCCGGACUUGGUCACCAGUGAGACGGAACCAGUGGCCAUUGUGGAGCGUCGUAUGAUGAAGAAAGGAGAUGCGCCAGUAAUCCAGCUACAAGUGCAGUGGUCCAAUCGGUCCCCAACAGCCACAACCUGGGAAGACUAUGCCACCUUAAGGGAGCGCUACCCAUCGGCCUGCAUCUGGGAAGGAGCUUCUUCUCAAGACGGGGGCAAUGUCACGCCUGUAGAUGACGAUCUGCAGCGG
RNAcentral lists this ribosomal RNA (1527 nucleotides) under Triticum aestivum (bread wheat). RNAcentral describes it as "partial small subunit ribosomal RNA". Lineage: Eukaryota; Viridiplantae; Streptophyta; Magnoliopsida; Poales; Poaceae. The record is from RNAcentral.